AGUAAUUAGCUAACUCAAUUUAAAAGUAACAACAGUUCGUUUCACAUUUGUACGAUAUCUAUUCGCGUCUCAUACGGAUCAUCACACGGCGUGUAGUAACUUUCUAUAAAUGGCAUAAAUAAGUAUUUUUAAAAGCCAGGGAUGCCAUGAAAGUUUUUAAUAAUUUUAACGUGGAGGUGAAAAGGCAUUAUGAAAAGUGUAUAAAUCCUGUGAUUUUGAACGGUCAUUGUAAUUGCGAAACGUCAAAACCUACCUAUGGAGUCAAGUUCAGGCAAUCUUUUCGAGGUACUGACAUGUGACCCAGAAACAUUUCACGGAAGUUAUGAAGAAUGGCCGUCCGUCCCGAAAAUGUUUACAGCCGUUUAUAUAAACCAUCCCAAAUAAUCAAAGACCAAAAAUUAUAUCUCCUACGAUACAACCUAGCAGCUGUAAUUGUAAGACAUUUCAUAAUAAAUAACGAUAACUUCAAUUUGGUCUGGGAAGAUCCAAAAUGAAGUUAUGAAAAUAAAAGUAUUGGUUUAUAAAUAAGUAAUGACACUAAUAAACUUGUCAAACAUCCGAAAAGAAAAAGGUGAUAGCUUUAUUAAACUCAAUGUCAAUCAUCAUCAUCAAAUGAAAAAUAUAAAUCUGACUACCGAUAGGAAAUCGUUGAAAGGCGAGAAAACGAAUUCAGCCGAAGCUUUAACAAAAGGAAAUCGUGCACAUCCGAACAGAAUAAACAUACAUUAUACUAUGUUCGGGCCAACAUUGAAAACAUCUUGAAAACACAAUUUUUGGAUUGUGGAAUCAAAGCCGUUCUGAACGACAACAUCUGUUUCCGAUACCUUUUCAUUGAAAAUUCACAAAUUUAAUUCUUAAUUUACAUCUUGAGCAACGAGAAUGCAAUAAAAUUUUAAUUAUUAGCUUUAAGAAGCGAGAUAAAUACCUUGUGCAACGAUGAUUCUUCAAGAGAAUUAAUAAAGACUAUUAUUACCCAGCACCUUGCCCUUGCAAAAAAAAUAGCGCAGUUGAUGAAACAACGACUUUGGGACACUGAUUAAAUCGUGUUAGACAAAUGAACACAAGCAGCAUUUUGGGAACAUGAUUGCCAACAAAACCGAUCUGCUUUCGCAUUAACCGAAGUUAAUUUUUAAAUUGUAGAUCUCUAGAAAGCAUUUAUGCAUUACAACCUUUCUUUGUGAAAAUAUGCAAUGCAUUUAUUUUACGUUUA
Long non-coding RNA from Bactrocera tryoni, 1210 nucleotides. RefSeq lists it as uncharacterized. Lineage: Eukaryota; Metazoa; Arthropoda; Insecta; Diptera; Tephritidae. The record is from RefSeq and is a predicted model, not a curated record. The transcript is spliced from 4 exons.